RNAcentral lists this ribosomal RNA (253 nucleotides) under uncultured bacterium. Its description in RNAcentral is "partial 16S ribosomal RNA". It matches the Rfam family "Bacterial small subunit ribosomal RNA", at positions 524 to 776 of the family's 1533-position model. The record is from RNAcentral.
UACGAAGGGGGCUAGCGUUGCUCGGAAUUACUGGGCGUAAAGGGCGCGUAGGCGGCACUGUUAGUCAGGCGUGAAAGUCCUGGGCUCAACCUGGGAACUGCGCUUGAUACGGCAGAGCUAGAGGAUGGAAGAGGCUCGCGGAAUUCCCAGUGUAGAGGUGAAAUUCGUAGAUAUUGGGAAGAACACCGGUGGCGAAGGCGGCGAGCUGGUCCACUACUGACGCUGAGGCGCGACAGCGUGGGGAGCAAACAGG